AAAGGGGAAAUCGAAAACCUUGAAAAGAGUAGAAA
Molecule: non-coding RNA, 35 nt
Filed under: unclassified sequences
Description: DUF805b RNA
Rfam family: DUF805b RNA
About the family: Bacteroidetes, Chlorobi (1 example), Proteobacteria.
Source: RNAcentral